Podarcis raffonei (Aeolian wall lizard) is the source of this 550-nucleotide long non-coding RNA. RefSeq lists it as uncharacterized. Lineage: Eukaryota; Metazoa; Chordata; Lepidosauria; Squamata; Lacertidae. The transcript has 2 exons. The record is from RefSeq and is a predicted model, not a curated record.
AUCAGUUGGCAUGUAAACCACAUUUGAAACACAAUGCAAGAGUUAUUAGGGAGUAGGCACAGAUGAGCUUUUUCACAUGACCCCUUGAUGCAGAAUUGUGUAGCCUCAUUCUUGCUUAAGUGGCCAUUCAUUUUGAAAUAAUUUUUGUAAGGUAAAGUCUUGUCUCUCCAUCCCUUCACUAUUUGCUAGGGUAUUGGGCCAAGAGUGUAUACUUUAUAAAUUUAUCCUUAUUCUUCAAGCCAUGUUAUGCAACUGUAUUUUUCCAUGGCUACCACAGUUGAUUUCCUGCAGUAAACAUGCAAUAUGUGUGUCUUUCUCACCAUCAUAGGACAUGUGAUGGGAAGCACUGUUUGUCUGCAGUUUCCCACUCUGCAUUCCUCUUCCCAUGUUUACUGUGGGAGCUACAGUUGCACCUGAUGGAAUUGUGAUUGCCACUUAAAGUUUGAAUAAAUCUUGUGGGAGAGUACCUCAUUAAAAACACCAGUGAACGUAAGGUUUGAUGUAAACCACUUGGAGGGUUUUGUAGACUAAGCAGUAUAUAACACUCUUU